This 253-nucleotide ribosomal RNA is filed under the name uncultured bacterium. Its description in RNAcentral is "partial 16S ribosomal RNA". It matches the Rfam family "Bacterial small subunit ribosomal RNA", at positions 527 to 779 of the family's 1533-position model. The record is from RNAcentral.
CGAAGGGGCUAGCGUUGUUCGGAAUCACUGGGCGUAAAGGGUGCGUAGGCGGAUUCUUAAGUCAGGGGUGAAAUCCCGAGGCUCAACCUCGGAACUGCCUUUGAUACUGGGGAUCUUGAGUCCGGAAGAGGUGAGUGGAACUGCGAGUGUAGAGGUGAAAUUCGUAGAUAUUCGCAAGAACACCGGUGGCGAAGGCGGCUCACUGGUCCGGAACUGACGCUGAGGCACGACAGCGUGGGGAGCAAACAGGAUU